UCUCUCGGCUGGCAAAGCAACUGGCUGUUAUGACGUUUACACCUCUGUAUUCCAGUGCUUCUUAGUGUAUGUCUGCCAUAGGAGUAUGAAUUAUUUGAGAGGAGAAAAAGCCUCACAUAGUCCGUUACUCUAAUACUCGAUAGCAUCUCAAUAAAUGCUGGCUGAAUGUAUAAUGAUGAGAAACUAUUCACCAAAGUGGCUGUGUUCCUGUGCCAGUCACAGCUACUGUGUGACAACCCUCUUCGUUUGCAUUCUGGGAGCAGCUCCCUCUACCUGUCCAUCAGGCUCACCAUGCGAUACAGCACCCCUUUGUUGAGAGCCCCAGGAUGCAGUGUCAUGCAUAGAGUUUCUUGUCCACACCUUUGCCAAGAGCCCCUUCAUUAAAAUAUCUUAAAAUAUCUUA
Molecule: long non-coding RNA, 403 nt
Organism: Suricata suricatta (meerkat)
Lineage: Eukaryota; Metazoa; Chordata; Mammalia; Carnivora; Herpestidae
Exons: 2
Source: RefSeq, a predicted model, not a curated record